RNAcentral lists this ribosomal RNA (386 nucleotides) under uncultured bacterium. RNAcentral's name for it is "bacterial SSU rRNA". It matches the Rfam family "Bacterial small subunit ribosomal RNA", at positions 355 to 740 of the family's 1533-position model. The record is from RNAcentral.
UAAGGAAUAUUGCUCAAUGGGAGAAAUCCUGAAGCAGCAACGCCGCGUGGAGGAUGAAGGGUCUAUGACUUGUAAACUCCUGUAAAGAAGGAAAAAAUUCCCAUUAGAUGGGAGAUGAUGGUACUUCUGGAGUAAGCCCCGGCUAACUACGUGCCAGCAGCCGCGGUAAUACGUAGGGGGCAAGCGUUGUCCGGAUUUACUGGGUGUAAAGGGUGCUCAGGCGGAUUUGUAAGUCAGAGGUGAAAUCUUACAGCUUAACUGUGAAACUGCCUUUGAUACUGCAAGCCUAGAGUAUGGAAGAGAGUGAUGGAAUAUCUGGUGUAGCAGUGAAAUGCGUAGAUAUCAGAUAGAACACCAAUGGCGAAGGCAGUCACUUGGUCCAUUAC